Molecule: ribosomal RNA, 319 nt
Filed under: uncultured eukaryote
Lineage: Eukaryota
Description: partial 18S ribosomal RNA
Rfam family: Eukaryotic small subunit ribosomal RNA
Source: RNAcentral
CCCUUAGAUGUUCUGGGCCGCACGCGCGCUACACUGAUGCAUUCAACGAGUGUACCUUGGCCGAGAGGCCUGGGCAAUCUUUUGAACGUGCAUCGUGAUAGGGAUAGAUUAUUGCAAUUAUUAAUCUUGAACGAGGAAUUCCUAGUAAACGCAGAUCAUCAAUCUGCAUUGAUUACGUCCCUGCCCUUUGUACACACCGCCCGUCGCACCUACCGAUUGAAUGGUCCGGUGAAAUCUCGGGACGGCGGCUUGGUCGCUUGCGUCCGACUGCUGAAACUUGAUUAAACCAUAUCAUUUAGAGGAAGGUGAAGUCGUAACA